GCAAAAGCGGUCCAAAAGGGACAUCUCACUGUUUAUCUUAACAAUCUGCUCUAAGGAAGACCCGCCAAGCUCGAGGAGGGCCUUUAAUUUUGUCAGCGACUCAAGCUAAACCAUCGUCUACACGUUAGCUCCGAUAUCUGAUCGAUACACCUUUUCCAAGUCGCAGGACAUGGCAAGACUUACUGUCGCAGCUUCGAUCUCGCCGUUACCAAUUUGCCCACUGCAGAAGAUGAGACCAGGGACUUUGGCAGCAGGAGCUACAUGACAGUAACGCAAACAUUAACCAGUUAUCCAUAUCGAACGAAACUGGACCGGACAUUGUUCUUCGCUUACUUCUGUUGCGUUUUAUACUUCUGACGGCUCUGGGGAGAAACUAACGGAGACACUAUCCUAUGUAUAUAUACCUUCCAUACAUGCAGUUUAGACGAUUCAACUUAGAAAUAACCAAUGAGGUUAAGAUUUUG
This 464-nucleotide small RNA is filed under the name Cryptococcus neoformans H99. Its description in RNAcentral is "Cryptococcus neoformans var. grubii H99 hypothetical RNA". Lineage: Eukaryota; Fungi; Basidiomycota; Tremellomycetes; Tremellales; Cryptococcaceae. The record is from RNAcentral.